GAUCCUACGUCGGAGUCUCACAUGGAAUACCUCGGGGUAGAGGCAUGAAUUGGUGGGGAGGUGUUGCAGUCUGAGACAGUGCUGCAAUAAGUUCUUGCUAAUUCUAGUCAACCUCACUUCAAUUAAAAUAAAAGUUCAUGUUAAAUAUGGAAAAAGUUAAUACAAAUUAAACAGGAACAUUGAGACAUUAACUAGUGACCCAAAGUCUGAGACACUUCCUUAAUUUCAUUAUUUGAUGGCAAGUAUCAGGAAUUGCACUGAGAUAGAUAUAUAAAACCAUAAGGAAUAAGGCCAGGCAAGGUGGACACAACAGGGUCAAACCAAGAGUCAUAAAUGCUAAUUUCCAUCUCAUUCAUUCAAUUGGCUUUGUGAAGAGCUCUUACAAAAACCUUUAUUGAACACAGAGGGAUGAUAAAAUUUGUUAAUCUCAAAUCAAACCAAACAGGAAAGAAGCCCUUUAACUAAUUGGAGGUGUGUCUGAUACAACUAUGACACACAUGAUUACAUUGACUUAAUUUUCUAAAAUUAUUAAUCGUGUAAGUGAGAUUCAAAAAGGAUUUCUCAAAUGCUACUCAAUUCUAUAACAAUAUAAAUGAAUAGAAACUUAGCUCAAAAUGAAUAAAGUGUUAUGGCUUUAAGAGAAUAGAAAACUCAGAUUACAAAGAACCUUUUUUUUUACUCAUUACAUAAGAACCUUGUUUUUUACUCAAUUACAUAAGAAUCUUAUAACAAUUAUAAUAAAAUAACUUUAACUGGCGGUCCUUAACUGAUAACCUUAACCAUGGAAGCAAUACACAAACAAGAAGUCAUAGACUAAAUAUAACUAACUGUGAUCAUGACAUAAUUAUCAAUAGUUAUAUAUAGUUAACAAAUUUGUUGAUUAACAAACAAAUCAGAGAUAAAACCUUCAGUUAUCAAAGCACCAUGGUAAAACUAUACAAUUUCACAUGUAAAAAUAUAAGUAAUUUGCAAAGACUAACCUUGCAACCUAUUUUACCUAACAACGACACAACUGCUCGGCCAAUACGGAGGCUUCAGUUUCUCUUACAAUCCAUGCUUCCACUUUCCGAGCUACUCCUAUUCCCGCUUUCAAAAUCAAAGUGCUCUCACGCCUAAAGAUAUGGGUUGUUUUCAAAUUAGCAAACUAGAAAGAAAUUUAUGAAAAAUAUUGUCUGGAAAACAAAAAGUGAACAUUGCAUACCUGUGGAUCUAAACGAAGUAUUCGAACUGCAGCGCGAACGGCGAGCAUAUUCGGAUCUGAAUAUAAUUUUUCUCUUACAAAUAUAAUUUCAGAUCUGACCAAGACUUUACCGCUAUUGGUGACAGCGAAAUUAGGGAUUUAGAUCUCCAGGAUACCAAUUCAUGAGUAAGAAGGAAUGUUCUUGAAGAUGGAAAGAAUUUUGAUGAUUUCAGUGGAGAGGUGGAAGAGGAAUUAGGGUUCGAUGGUAAGAAAGGAAAGAGGAAAACUUAAUUUUGCUUUUGAUGAUUAUUAAUUUAUUAAUUUAUAUUAUGAUAUGAUAUGAUGCUUAUAAAAUAAAAAAAGACAUAAAACUUAGCUUCGGCCAU
Molecule: long non-coding RNA, 1566 nt
Filed under: Trifolium pratense (red clover)
Lineage: Eukaryota; Viridiplantae; Streptophyta; Magnoliopsida; Fabales; Fabaceae
Description: long non-coding RNA (TPRA_LNC005180)
Source: RNAcentral